This 1355-nucleotide long non-coding RNA is filed under the name Cyanistes caeruleus (blue tit). RNAcentral describes it as "lncRNA (ENSCCEG00000010683.1)". The record is from RNAcentral. Lineage: Eukaryota; Metazoa; Chordata; Aves; Passeriformes; Paridae.
GCUCCUAGAAAAUUCAAGGUGAGAAUUGGCUGGACUAUAAAUGAGAUUUAGCAGGAGGAUACCAGGCUCUCUGGAGAAUUAAGAUGCAGAAGUGCAUAUUUCAAAUCAGCUGUGAAAAUCCAGAGGUGCCCCAAACUCUUUGGGCAAUCCCUUUCUGUUUUAAGAUGGGGAAGUGAAGGAUUGCACUUACAUUCUUUCCAACUGCUGUAUUUGAUGAAGGGAAUUUCCCUGAAAUUUAUCUUUUCAUUUUUAUGUGAAUAGACUCUGCCAGAAAGAUAUUUUCCCUUCUCUAUUAGUAUUAAGAUUUGCAGACUGAAAGAGCAGCAAACUACAAAUUCAUCUUUAUGUGGCCCUCAUUGGAAGGAGGAGACUCAUGGCCUGUCCCCCAAAAAGGUAUUCCUUGGAAUAGGGGCAGAGGAUCCUGAGCAGCAGGCUGGACCUGUGGGAGCAGCUCAAGUGCCAUUCCCAUGGAGCACCCAUCCUGGAUGGAACCAGAGUGUCUGGAGGUUGAAGGUACAUGGAAAAUGGAUCAGCUGAAAGAACAGCUCUUCAUGAUAAUUGGGAAGGGAAGACAUGGAGAACUUUUGUGGUGAAAAGUCCAAGUGUAGCCCAUGAUGGAUAGGAGCAGAACUUCUAUUGUGGUCAAGUACAACUGGCAGUUCAAGGAGAGGAUUAGCAGUAAGAACAGAGGAACAGUGUUUGAUUUAACCAUUCUCCUAGCAACUUUUAAACAGGAAUGAGAGCAGAAAAUAAUCAUUGGUCUGGUCCUCUGGCAUUGGCAGGAAAAUGCCACGGGAGCCGGCUGGGACAGUGACAUGGGACAGGUUCUGCAGCUGCCUGUGCAGCCUCGUGAUCUGCCAGUGCUGGCAUUAACUACUUCAAUUUUCCCCUCAAGAACCAGAAAUCUUCUUUAAUCCUACAUAAUUCUAAAAUUGCAGAGCUGGAGGUAGGAAGGGCCCAUUAAGCGAGGCAGCCUCCUCUGUCCGCAGGGGGAUUGUUCAGGGGGAACUUCGUGAUUGAAAAACAGGGAUUCAACCAAUUACUCACCUAAUAGUUUCAGUUCAUCCACCUCUGCCUCUGAGAUCUGUCGUCUCAUCUUUCUUUGUGAGCAGCAUGAAUGGAUGAUCAAGUUUCAUUCUCAAAUCUGCAAGGCAGAUUUAUGCAGAGUCUUUGUAUCUCUAAGCAAAUCGGGGAAUGCGAGUCUCUUGCUACAGUGCGGCUGAAUAUUCUUAGGGAAGGUGUGUAAGCAGCCCAAACCUAAUUCCUGUGAGGGGUUUAGCUCACGGCAUGAGACCUUCAGCUGGAGUAAGGAGCUGCACUGGGGUUCGGUGCGAGCCUGGGGUGCCUGCGAGCUG